GACGAACGCUGGCGGCGUGCUUAACACAUGCAAGUCGAACGGAAAGGCCCUGCUUUUGUGGGGUGCUCGAUUGGCGAACGGGUGAGUAACACGUGAGUAACCUGCCCUUGACAUUGGGAUAACUUCAGGAAGCUGGGGCUAAUACCGGAUAGGAGCUCCUGCUGCACGGUGGGGGUUGGAAAGUUUCGGCGGUUGGGGAUGGACUCGCGGCUUAUCAGCUUGUUGGUGGGGUAGUGGCUUACCAAGGCUUUGACGGGUAGCCGGCCUGAGAGGGUGACCGGCCACAGUGGGACUGGGAUACGGCCCAGACUGCUACGGGCGGCAGCAGUGGGGAAUAGUGCACAAUGCGCGGAAGCAUGAUGCAGCAACGCCGCGUGCGAGAUGACGGCCUUCGGGUUGUAAACCGCUUUCGCCUGUGACGAAGCGUGAGUGACGGUAAUGGGUAAAGAAGCACCGGCUAACUACGU
Molecule: ribosomal RNA, 467 nt
Filed under: uncultured bacterium
Lineage: Bacteria
Description: partial 16S ribosomal RNA
Rfam family: Bacterial small subunit ribosomal RNA
Source: RNAcentral